Molecule: long non-coding RNA, 409 nt
Filed under: Dromaius novaehollandiae (emu)
Lineage: Eukaryota; Metazoa; Chordata; Aves; Casuariiformes; Dromaiidae
Description: lncRNA (ENSDNVG00000012757.1)
Source: RNAcentral
GCUUGAGCAAACUCGAGACAUAAUUAACCAGCCGAAGCAGAGAAACGGGGUGCUCGAGCUGGUCCCACCGCAGCUGUCCGGAUCCUUUUGGAGGCACCUGUUUUCUUUCAUUUUUUUUCAACAAAAAAACCUGGAUUUGCAGGAACGAUGCCGGGAUCGUUUGUCGCUGUGACUGUUGCUUUGGUUUGGCGGCGGCGCCACGUUUCUGGGCAGAAACAUCUCCAAAACGGGAACGCAACUCAUUUAACUCUUCUCACCUCUUUCUGGGCCGAUACCCUCGUUUUCCCGGCUUUGCGGCAAAAGCCGGCGGUAAAAAUAGGACGUUCCGAAUCUUGCCUCUUUCCCUGCUGGGAAAACCGGGGUUGAAGGAGCGGGUGAGGCCGCGGCCGCUCAGUGUCACCUAGCAGAG